UUAUAAAAUAUUCUGUCCUUAAUUUUUAUUUCAUAAUUAAUAUUAAUUCCAAUCACAACUAAUGGUAACUUUAUUUUAUGUUAAAUCGGUAACGGAGUGACACGGAAAUGAUAAAGACGCUUACUAUCUAUGUAGGGCAAUGUUGGGGCCAAGAAACCCUGAUGCGCCAUCUCCGUGUGUCUGCGAAGACAAAAGGCAUCGUGUCCAACGUGCGAAAAAAACGUGCACGCGCGCCUACAUAUACAUAAAGACGCUUGCCAACUUCAGUCGUGAGAUAAAUCCUCGUCAGUGGAUAAAUAUCUCGGCCUUCAUGUGGUGGUUCCAUAAAAACAAGAUUCUAAGUGGCUUAACCAUAGAAACUUCCUUUAACGCGUUCACUGGGAGAGAAAGGAAGCGAACAACGCGAAAGCUAUUGGUCGGUAAAAGCAGUGGCAUUGGAAUUUACGUGUUACUCGUGAAACGUCAGCCUGAAGGUGGCCAAAUACAUCGUUGACGCGAGAGAACAACGCAGAAAUAGGACGGGCCGUUUCGAGGAAGAGAGAUCGGCCGCCUGUACAACGGAUGGAGACGUGGUUGGAUAAAGCGUGUCGGAGCAAGGGAGGGAACACGUAGUAAUUCACCAGAGCACGUAUGCGUAGCCUAAGUGAUACUACGUGACGAUUUAUGUUGGUG
Molecule: unclassified non-coding RNA, 672 nt
Filed under: Bombus terrestris (buff-tailed bumblebee)
Lineage: Eukaryota; Metazoa; Arthropoda; Insecta; Hymenoptera; Apidae
Description: misc RNA ENSBTSG00005027007.1
Source: RNAcentral